CGUGAAACUGCUUAGAGGUUAAGCCCGAUGAACCUGAAUAUCCAUUAUGGAAAAUUCAACAUUAAUAUUAUAAUAUUUAUUUAUAAAUAUUAUAAAAAUAGUGUGCAAUUUUUCCAUAUAAGGACAUUGUAAUCUGUUAAUGUUAUAAAUAUUUAUCAUAAGAUUCAGUAUAUAAAAGUUUAUUCAAAUUAGUUAUUUUCCGAUUUCUAACAUAGAAUAAAUUUAAUUGAAUUUGAUAAAUCAUUGACAGAUUUAUUUAUAUAUAGUGCUUAAAUUCUUAAUUGAAUUUUACAAUAAUUUAUAAAUGUAUUUUCAUUUAUUUAUUUAUUGUAUGCACUUAUAUGAUUAACAAUGCUAUAGAUUCAGGAUACCUUC
Molecule: ribosomal RNA, 375 nt
Filed under: Merodon obscuritarsis
Lineage: Eukaryota; Metazoa; Arthropoda; Insecta; Diptera; Syrphidae
Description: eukaryotic LSU rRNA
Source: RNAcentral